UGAAAGCAGGGGAUUCGCAAGGACCUUGCGCUCAUGGAGCGGCCGAUGGCAGAUUAGGUAGUUGGUGGGAUAAAAGCUUACCAAGCCGACGAUCUGUAGCUGGUCUGAGAGGACGACCAGCCACACUGGGACUGAGACACGGCCCAGACUCCUACGGGAGGCAGCAGUGGGGAAUUUUGGACAAUGGGGGAAACCCUGAUCCAGCCAUGCCGCGUGCAGGAUGAAGGCCUUCGGGUUGUAAACUGCUUUUGUACGGAACGAAAAGGUCUUUUCUAAUAAAGAAGGCCCAUGACGGUACCGUAAGAAUAAGCACCGGCUAACUACGUGCCAGCAGCCGCGGUAAUACGUAGGGUGCAAGCGUUAAUCGGAAUUACUGGGCGUAAAGCGUGCGCAGGCGGUUAUAUAAGACAGACGUGAAAUCCCCGGGCUCAACCUGGGAACUGCAUUAGUGACUGUAUAGCUAGAGUGCGGCAGAGGGGGAUGGAAUUCCGCGUGUAGCAGUGAAAUGCGUAGAU
Molecule: ribosomal RNA, 515 nt
Filed under: uncultured beta proteobacterium
Lineage: Bacteria; Pseudomonadati; Pseudomonadota; Betaproteobacteria
Description: bacterial SSU rRNA
Rfam family: Bacterial small subunit ribosomal RNA
Source: RNAcentral